GACGAACGCUGGCGGCGUGCUUAACACAUGCCAGUCGAACGGAAAGGCCCUGCUUUUGUGGGGUUCCCGAUUGGCGAACGGGUGAGUAACACGUGAGUAACCUGCCCUUGUCUUUGGGAUAACUUCAGGAAACUGGGGCUAAUAUCGUAUAGCAUCUCCUGCUGCAUGGUGGGGGUUGGAACGUUUCGGCGGUAGGGGAUGGACUCGCGGCUUACCAGCUUGUUGGUGGGGUAGUGGCUUACCAAGGCUUUGACGGAUAGCCGGCCUGGGAGGGUGGACGGCGACAAUGGGACUGAGGUACGGCGCAGACGCCUACGGGGGGCAACGGGGGGAAGUAUGACACAGUGAGAGGGAGCGUGAUGCGGAGACGCCGGGUGCGGAAUGACGGCCUUCGGGUUGUAAACCGCUUUCGCCUGUGACGAAGCGUGAGUGACGGUAAUGGGUAAAGAAGCACCGGCUAACUACGUG
This 468-nucleotide ribosomal RNA is filed under the name uncultured bacterium. Its description in RNAcentral is "partial 16S ribosomal RNA". It matches the Rfam family "Bacterial small subunit ribosomal RNA", at positions 28 to 507 of the family's 1533-position model. The record is from RNAcentral.